UGAGCAACCUGCCCUUGACUCUGGAAUAACAGCUGGAAACAGCUGCUAAUACCGGAUACGACCUCCGAUGGCAUCAUCUGGAGGUGGAAAGCUCCGGCGGUCAAGGAUGGGCUCGCGGCCUAUCAGCUUGUUGGUGAGGUAACGGCUCACCAAGGCUUCGACGGGUAGCCGGCCUGAGAGGGCGACCGGCCACACUGGGACUGAGAUACCGGCCCAGACUCCGUAGGA
Molecule: ribosomal RNA, 228 nt
Filed under: uncultured bacterium
Lineage: Bacteria
Description: partial 16S ribosomal RNA
Rfam family: Bacterial small subunit ribosomal RNA
Source: RNAcentral